UCUCCUCCGCCGCUCCUUUCCACUGGCCGCUCCGCCCUCCGCCACCUCCAAUUGCAGAUCUAGGUUUUCAAAAUUUUGUUUUUUGUUUUCUAAAUUUAUUUUUUGGCAAAUUGUAUGCAGAGAUGAAGCAAAUUUUCGUGGACUAGAGUUUCUGAUCUUGUAUUUAACGAAACAACCCUUGGCUGUCUGAGCAUACAAUUUUUCCAUAGUUUUGUUGAAAUCUCUCUCUAAUUUUGCUAAUUAUCUCGAUUUGUGUGUGGUGAUGAUGCAAUUUUUCGUGGACUAGAGUUUCUGAUCUCGCAUUUGACGAAACAACCCUUGGCUGUCUGAGCACACUCUUCAAUUUUUCCUUCGAUUUCGUUUUGGAUCUCAAUUUCUCAUUCAAUUUGGCUUGUGAUGAAAAAAUAAUUAUCUUAGCGGAUUUCAGUGAGGUUGUGAUUUUUAUCGUAAUCAAUGAUCUGAUUGUUACACACACUGAAGCCUUGUUGAAAUCAAUUCCUUUUUUAUUCAGUUUUUGCGAUGAUGAGAUUAAACACAAGUUCUGUGUUUGGGGCAGUGGAUUCCGAUCCGUGAGCCUUCUAAAUCAACGACUUCUCCUUCCACUGAGCAAAAAUUUUCUUCAAAAUCGUCGAUUUCUAGCGUCCAUUACCAAUACCGGUUGAUUAAUUUGUUCUUCUUGGUUUAAUGGCACGGACGCAACAUUCAAUUUGUGGCUAUCCUGAUUGGCGUUGCAUUGAUUGGAUUGGAUUCCAAUCGAUGUGUCACGGGAAGCAUAGAUCGAUUUCGUAGCUUUAAUGUCACCAUUGAUGAAUUAACGCAGGUUUUGGAUUCAUCUUAGCUUGCUUCUCCGGUGGCUUUGCUUCAACACUUGUUUUUCCCCAAAUUUGAUUCAUUUUAG
This is an RNA transcript of Salvia hispanica, 898 nucleotides long. It is a transcript of the gene named (+)-cis,trans-nepetalactol synthase NEPS2 pseudogene, with no coding region annotated. The record is from RefSeq and is a predicted model, not a curated record. NCBI's taxonomy places the organism in Eukaryota, Viridiplantae, Streptophyta, Magnoliopsida, Lamiales, Lamiaceae.